RNAcentral lists this long non-coding RNA (804 nucleotides) under Elaeis guineensis (African oil palm). Its description in RNAcentral is "long non-coding RNA (EGUI_LNC074720)". The record is from RNAcentral. Lineage: Eukaryota; Viridiplantae; Streptophyta; Magnoliopsida; Arecales; Arecaceae.
UCUGAUUUUGAUUGAUUAAAACAGGACUCCCAGUUUGAUUGGGUUUGAUCCUGUCAAACCUAGUCUUACACAAACUCUAGCCUUAUCACCCUUGGACGCAUGCUAUUUAAAUAGAGGGGUUUUGGGAUGUGGAGAAACAUCUGAAAACCUUCUUUUGGGCGUGGGUUCUCUUUGAGGGCAUGAAAAAAUUCUAGGGAGAGAGAGAAAGGUUCUCUCUUCUCCAAGUCUUCUUCCUCCUACACAUUGUCUUCUUCUUUCUUAAGAUUGUCUUGGAGAUUGAAGGAGAUCUUGUUCAACCAUCAAGGAAAUAUUCUCUGCAAGAAAGCUAGCACCUCGGGAAGAACAUAGAGCCUCUGAUCAGAUCAGGCCACUGUGGAUACCCGUAGAGGCCGGACAUAUGCACGGCUACAUCAGAAUCUGAAGACAUCUACAGAUCCGGAUUCAAGUUUUGCGAUUCAGAUAUGUGAUUCGAUCAUAAAUAAAUUUUUAAUCUCUAAAAUCAGAUAUUUUAUAUCUUAUUUAUUAUCAUAUGAACUAGAUCAAUAGGUAUAAAAUUUUGAUCUAUACAUGCGUAGGAUUAAAACUGUUUUAAUCUUGACUUCCGCUGCUUAAAUUCAAAAUUGUUUUGAAAUCUAUCUGCAAAAUACCUAAAAUCCAUCAGUAGUAUCAGAGCCACGAAUUCAUAUGCAUGAGAAUAAGAUGAUAUCUAAUUUCUAAAUCAGAUCUGAAAUUAAUCUGAUAUAGAUCAGACAUCGGUAUGAAACAAGGUUGUCCUGGCAUACGGAUUACCCCUUAUGUUGAAAU